RNAcentral lists this ribosomal RNA (253 nucleotides) under uncultured bacterium. RNAcentral describes it as "partial 16S ribosomal RNA". It matches the Rfam family "Bacterial small subunit ribosomal RNA", at positions 524 to 776 of the family's 1533-position model. The record is from RNAcentral.
UACGGGGGGGGCAAGCGUUGUUCGGAAUUACUGGGCGUAAAGGGCUCGUAGGUUGCCAACUAAGUCGGACGUGAAAUCCCUCAGCUUAACUGGGGAACUGCGUCCGAUACUGGAUGGCUUGAGUUUGGGAGAGGGAUGCGGAAUUCCAGGUGUAGCGGUGAAAUGCGUAGAUAUCUGGAGGAACACCGGUGGCGAAGGCGGCAUCCUGGACCAACACUGACACUGAGGAGCGAAAGCGUGGGGAGCAAACAGG